This 253-nucleotide ribosomal RNA is filed under the name uncultured bacterium. RNAcentral describes it as "partial 16S ribosomal RNA". It matches the Rfam family "Bacterial small subunit ribosomal RNA", at positions 524 to 776 of the family's 1533-position model. The record is from RNAcentral.
UACGGAGGGUGCGAGCGUUGUCCGGAAUCAUUGGGCGUAAAGGGCGCGUAGGUGGCGGCGUCAGCGUGCGGUGAAAGCCCCCGGCUCAACUGGGGAGGGUCACGCGAUACUGAUCGACUCGAAGGCAGGAGAGGGUAGUGGAAUUCCCGGUGUAGUGGUGAAAUGCGUAGAUAUCGGGAGGAACACCAGUGGCGAAGGCGACUACCUGGCCUGUUCUUGACGCUGAGGCGCGAAAGCUAGGGGAGCAAACGGG